Molecule: long non-coding RNA, 687 nt
Filed under: Sorghum bicolor (sorghum)
Lineage: Eukaryota; Viridiplantae; Streptophyta; Magnoliopsida; Poales; Poaceae
Description: long non-coding RNA (SBIC_LNC001429)
Source: RNAcentral
CACCAUCAUGUGUUUAUAGGAAUUAAAACCGUUCGCAUGCCACCAUGUGUGGUGUCUUAUGAUUACUAGCUACUUAGCGUGUUAUUAUUAGAAGGUUUCAUGUGCCCGACUCACAACUUGACAAGAUUCCACCAUUGGGCUAGCAUUCAACUGACAAGAUUUUGCCAUUAGGCUUUCAACGGAAAUAAAAGAGUUUUUUUUAAAAAAGGGAAAUAAAAAAAGAACACAAAAGGGAUAGCAGAAAAUCGAUCGUACUAUAUAUUACUAUAUACAUCUGACUAUUAUCCUAACCAUAACUACUAUAUACAAUCUCACUAUUUUAAGUAGAAUAUUCUAACUAUAACCACCAUUCCUAAGAGCGUCUCAAGAAUUCCCAAAGCAAUAUUCCAAUCCAAGAUUUUUGACGAUUAAACAAAUGUUCAACAACUUCCAACCUCAUCUCUCAACAUCUUUUAGUAAUUAUUAAAAAUAACCCCAUCGCGGGGAUAAAUAUGCGCGUGUAUCCAUCAGCUAAAUUAAGGUGAAAGGAUGUGUAUAAAAGAAUAAGAAGUAGAACUUACAAAUAUACAAGAAACAAAAGAAAAUAUAAAAAUAAUUGGAUUAAUUAAGAAAUAGUUCGGGAUACCUGAUCUAAAAUUAGCUUCUAUCUUUAGGAACUAACUAAUAAAUAUACUCCCAACCUUUUUU